CUUUGUGUUGAUUUUUCUGCAGUUUGAACAUGGAGAAUGUAAAUUCAUGAGGAUGGAGACUUUGUCUAAUUCACUGCUUUAUUCCCACUGUCUGGAACAGUCUCUGAAGCUGGUGGCGUUCGUUCAGAGUUGGCAGCUGCAGUUUCUUGGAAGAACAGCAAACACCACUGACUUUGGAGCUACGUGCAGGCUGGCUUCACAUGCAUUGACUCCUGAGCGCCUCACAGGCUGUUUGAGCUAAGUGUCAUUAUCCCCAUUUCUGAGAUGAGGAGACUGAGGAACAGGGAGGUGAGGCACUUGGUUCAAAGUCACACAGAUACCAAGGGGUAGAGCUGGAAUUUGAGUUUGGAAGAGUGGCCCCAAGUGCAUGAGCUUCUGUGAGCUCAAUGUCUGACUUGUGCCUCAUUUACUUGACUUUUUCCAUGUA
Non-coding RNA from Leptonychotes weddellii (Weddell seal), 427 nucleotides. NCBI's taxonomy places the organism in Eukaryota, Metazoa, Chordata, Mammalia, Carnivora, Phocidae. The record is from RefSeq and is a predicted model, not a curated record.